This 74-nucleotide microRNA precursor is filed under the name Myotis lucifugus (little brown bat). Its description in RNAcentral is "mir-9193 microRNA precursor family". It matches the Rfam family "mir-9193 microRNA precursor family". Lineage: Eukaryota; Metazoa; Chordata; Mammalia; Chiroptera; Vespertilionidae. The record is from Rfam by way of RNAcentral.
GGGGGGGGGGAGGAGUCCCUCAGCCCAGAUUGCGAGAGGGAGCAGGCCAGGCCUAGGAACUCCACCAGUGCACA